Molecule: long non-coding RNA, 381 nt
Filed under: Elaeis guineensis (African oil palm)
Lineage: Eukaryota; Viridiplantae; Streptophyta; Magnoliopsida; Arecales; Arecaceae
Description: long non-coding RNA (EGUI_LNC019783)
Source: RNAcentral
ACCUAAUCCAAUUGAAAAUCGGAUCGGAUCAGAUCGGAUCCAUGAUCAAAAAGUCUGUCCCAUUGGAUUAUUUAGGUCGGAUUGGGUCCAUAUAUAAUCCGAUCUCAAUGUAAAAAAUCUGGAUUCGACUCGGGCCCUUCUAGUCGGACUUGGUUCAUAUGAUAAACCAAUAUAUGCAAAGUUUAUGACAAAAGAAAAUAAAUAUUUUUUUAUCUUGACUAUUAAUUUAUAAGCAAUUUUUCAAAAUCUCACAAUCAAAUUGAGUAAAACUAUAUAAAAAAUAACAAUGCUAUAAUUGAAAGAAAACGUAGUGAGUGAUGUGCAUGCAUUUUCAAAAUUUUAUAGCGAAAUAUACAUAGAUUAAAUAAUUUAAUCUAUAAU